RNAcentral lists this ribosomal RNA (466 nucleotides) under uncultured bacterium. RNAcentral's name for it is "bacterial SSU rRNA". It matches the Rfam family "Bacterial small subunit ribosomal RNA", at positions 329 to 792 of the family's 1533-position model. The record is from RNAcentral.
UACCAGACUCCUACGGGAGGCAGCAGUGAGGAAUAUUGGUCAAUGGGCGGGAGCCUGAACCAGCCAAGUCGCGUGAGGGAAGACGGUCCUAUGGAUUGUAAACCUCUUUAGGCGGGGAGCAAUGCCGGGCACGCGUGCCCGGAGGGUGAGUACCCGCAGAAUAAGCAUCGGCUAACUCCGUGCCAGCAGCCACGGUAAUACGGAGGAUGCGAGCGUUAUCCGGAUUUAUUGGGUUUAAAGGGUGCGUAGGCGGGCAUUUAAGCCGGCGGUCAAAUGUCGGGGCUCAACCCCGGCCUGCCGUCGGAACUGGGUGCCUUGAGUGGGCGAGAAGUAUGCGGAAUGCGUGGUGUAGCGGUGAAAUGCAUAGAUAUCACGCAGAACUCCGAUUGCGAAGGCAGCAUACCGGCGCCCAACUGACGCUGAAGCACGAAAGCGUGGGUAUCGAACAGGAUUAGAUACCCUCGUA